CCAGAUUGAAAAUCUCAAUUUUUAAUCUCUGAAAUACAGCACGCACUUGUCCGUGUUGUUGCUCUGUACAGGACUUGCUUGUAUGCAUUCCUAAAUAGUGUACAGGUGGGAGCUAAACUGAAGCUUGCUGGUUGUGACGUGUCAGCCAUAAACUUGUAUUAUGACCAUUGUUUAUCCGGUGAGUGCAUAAAAUUCAGUACCACAAUUUAGGAUUACAGUUGACCCUUUUUGUAGAGAAACAUGGGUACUUUAGUGGCAUAUAUAUUCAGAUUUAGGCCUUUUUGCCAUAGCAGGCUGUAGCAAAGGCUAAAUCAUGCUCAAUAAAGCCUAUGUACAGAUACAUGUUACUUACAUCCACACAUGUGCCUUUGGUUGUAGCUGAGCAAGUUUAAAUAUAUAAUUCUCCGAAAGUAUACAAUUUCCUUUACUCCUAACCUCAUACUCCCUCCGUUCCUAAAUACUUGUCUUUCUAGGCAUUUCAACAAGUGACUACAUACGGAGCAAAAUGAGUGAAUCUACACUCUAAAAUAUGUCUACAUACAUCCGUAUGUAGUAGUCAUUUGAAAUGUCUAGAAAGACAAAUAUUUAGGAACGGAGGGAGUAGAACAUUUCUGAACCUAGCCUAUGUAUAUACGUAUAUAAGUGUUUCCUUACAUAUCUGAUUGAAUUUUUAAAUCAUAGACGAGUUAAUAUUUAAGAAAUAAUACAAACUCUUAGGUGUGGCCACUAGCAUUCUGUCAUUUAUUUAUGAACCUAGCCUUCUGUCAUUUAUUAUGGACGAGUUAAUAUUUAAGAAAUAAUACAAACUCUUAGGUGUGGCCACUAGCAAUGCAGUUUCAUCUAAAGUGGUAAAUGGUGCCUUUGUAUUCAAAUUAAAUAGUUCCUGAUAAUGAAGAAACCGAAGCAACUUGGUUUAUCUAUGUUCCUUUUUUUAAUCUUCGUAGAUGGAAUGCGUUCCUACAAGAAUAACACAUGUUUGAUUUUAGCAGGCUCAAAAACAGAGGCUGUUCCGUCUUCUCCUAAUCCAGACAAGCUGGCCCCUCUUCAUUGGUGCCCGUAGUAAAUUCAAAUUUGGUAGUGACACUGCAUGCCUAAAACUCUCCUGUAGGUUGGUUCAUUGAUUUAGAUUGAUAUAAUUGUCCAAGAAGCCAAUUAAUUGAUUUGGAAUCUAUAUAUUGUGGUGCAUUAUCUAAGCUUGCACUGUUAGUGUCGUUUAAAAAUAUCUCUUGCUUUUAAAAUAGUAUUAGUAAAAUGGCUAAAGUGCACAUGAGAGUCUAAAUCAGUUUAAAUCAUAACAGUCUCAUGUUUUCUUCAAAGAAUUUUGUGGUUGCAUAAAUAAAUCGCGAGGAAGAUUUGGAUGUAAGCACCCAUCUUUCAUGAGAUAGACCUAAGUUGUACAUUUGAAUUCUUCUCUGUUUAUACUCUGCCAAGUUAUCUCAAGCAUAUGAUUUUACUUUGGUACAGGUUGAUUAUAUUACUGGAUGCAUAUGCAUAAAUCAGAGGAUAAGCAGCGGAAGGACAAGUUGUAUUUUUCGAGAUGUUCUCUUCUUCUUUAUUUUACAUGUUAAAGCAUGGACCUUCUUGCUCAGGUUUCAGAUUUCUCAAUCCAUACUUCCAUGCAAAACAUAAUUUUGUUCGCACGAGCUCACAUUUUGGUAGUUGCAAAACAUAAACCAUGACACUUUCAGGUUUUAGAUUUUGUAUACUGAACCAUGAUGCUAGGCUGAAUAAUUUACUAUCUUUUGUUCGCACGAGCUCACAUUUUGGUAGUUGCAAAACAUAAACCGUGAUGCUUUCUUGCCGCUGUUGUAGUCUCUAAUUAAUGGCAUUGUGAGAGACUGUAGUUAAUUUAAGUUUCUUCUGUUUAAAUAAAACAGGCGUUGGUAACUGCAUAAGUUUAACCAUGAUGCUUUAUUUUUUUAGGGAAAAACCAUAAUGCUUUCUUGCUGCUGCUGUAGUCUCUAUGGGAUUCUAAGAUAAUUUAGUUAAGCUAAUCUCAUCGGUUUGCACUCAAAAAUCACAGGAGCCAUACAGAAAAAAGUAGGGUACUAUUAGAAAUUGGCCGUGUGAUGUUCAUAUUCAGAGAAUAGCACAUCUGUUGAUUAAACUGAAAAUGUAUAUGGUGCAUUUCGUUUCUGCUCAUCCUGAUCUAACCAAACUGAUCCCAUAGAUUUGAGAUUGUCGUGCCUAUCAGGUUUGGACAUGUUCUUAUUUGUACUAAAUCACUAAACUAAACUGUAUAAAUAAAAUAGCCCCCCUCCUUUCCAACAACUUAUUUUAUUUUUAGAGUGAGCAACGACAUGUUAUCAUACUCUGUUCCUUGUGAGCAGUACUUCAGUUUAGAUUGACGUAUACUCUUUGGUAUAUAGCAUUUUUGCCUACCUCUUGCCUAUUUCACAUCGAAUAGAUGAUUUCAAUGUUUUAAAUAGCGGGCUAUUGCCAAAUAGCGGCGGACCUCAAAAUCAGCUAUAGCGGAGCUAUAGCGGGCUAUUUGUACAUAGGACCGUUUAGCGGCACCCUAGUGAAAAGGCUAUAUAGCGGGCUAUAGCGGAGCUAUAGCGGGCUAUUUAAAAUAUUGGAUGAUUUGCUUUGGAGAGGGAUUAGAUAAGGCCUAUGAGUCCUAAGUAAGCGUGAUAAGCAUGUCCUGCACUUCUAUUUACUAUUAAGCACCAACUGAAUUUCUGAAAUGGUGUUUCAGGAAUGAUACAAUCAAUCCAACUGUUACCUUUGGGGUGCUUUUUGGAUGGACUAAUCUGAAGAUGUUGGCUAGCUUGCACCGCCAUCAUAUAAUCU
This 2793-nucleotide long non-coding RNA is filed under the name Triticum aestivum (bread wheat). Its description in RNAcentral is "long non-coding RNA (TAES_LNC019975)". The record is from RNAcentral. Lineage: Eukaryota; Viridiplantae; Streptophyta; Magnoliopsida; Poales; Poaceae.